Trematomus bernacchii (emerald rockcod) is the source of this 496-nucleotide long non-coding RNA. RefSeq lists it as uncharacterized. The transcript is spliced from 3 exons. NCBI's taxonomy places the organism in Eukaryota, Metazoa, Chordata, Actinopteri, Perciformes, Nototheniidae. The record is from RefSeq and is a predicted model, not a curated record.
AGGGGUUUUAAACGAGGGACAUACGAUCCAUGUCACACGAUUUCUGUCAGGUUUUCUGAUGAUAUGGGAAUACCUGAAGAGGCUGUGGACUUAGGUGGACCAAGAAGAGAGUUUCUAAGACUUCUAUUGGAAGCUUUGCCCAAAUCUUCGAUGUUUGAGGGAGAAGAAGGCAAACUGAACUUGGCCUUUGACAGUACUGCCAUGAGAGAGGACCGGUACUUUAUUGCAGGCAGGGCCAUUGCAGUAAGCAUUGUACAUGGCGGUUCUCCCGCAGGCUUUCUGUCCCCAACUCUCUUCUCUUGCCUUGUUGAUGGCCCAGAAUUGGCUAAGCCAGUGUUGGAAGAUGUUGCGGAUAUUGACCUGCACGAAAAGAUUAAGAGGGUCACGGAGGGUAAAUCAUUGGAAGAUCUGCUAGCAACAACAUAACCACUUGAGGAGUAUUUGGCCAAUGCUGGCUGCCUGAGGCCGCUGCGGAGGUUGGAAGACAAGAAUCUGC